This 490-nucleotide ribosomal RNA is filed under the name uncultured bacterium. RNAcentral's name for it is "partial 16S ribosomal RNA". It matches the Rfam family "Bacterial small subunit ribosomal RNA", at positions 30 to 507 of the family's 1533-position model. The record is from RNAcentral.
AUUGAACGCUGGCGGCAGGCCUAACACAUGCAAGUCGAACGGUAACAGGAAGAAGCUUGCUUCUUUGCUGACGAGUGGCGGACGGGUGAGUAAUGUCUGGGAAACUGCCUGAUGGAGGGGGAUAACUACUGGAAACGGUAGCUAAUACCGCAUAACGUCGCAAGACCAAAGAGGGGGACCCUCGGGCCUCUUGCCAUCGGAUGUGCCCAGAUGGGAUUAGCUAGUAGGUGGGGUAACGGCUCACCUAGGCGACGAUCCCUAGCUGGUCUGAGAGGAUGACCAGCCACACUGGAACUGAGACACGGUCCAGACUCCUACGGGAGGCAGCAGUGGGGAAUAUUGCACAAUGGGCGCAAGCCUGAUGCAGCCAUGCCGCGUGUAUGAAGAAGGCCUUCGGGUUGUAAAGUACUUUCAGCGGGGAGGAAGGGAGUAAAGUUAAUACCUUUGCUCAUUGACGUUACCCGCAGAAGAAGCACCGGCUAACUCCGUG